This 2900-nucleotide ribosomal RNA is filed under the name Escherichia coli. RNAcentral describes it as "23S ribosomal RNA". It matches the Rfam family "Bacterial large subunit ribosomal RNA". Lineage: Bacteria; Pseudomonadati; Pseudomonadota; Gammaproteobacteria; Enterobacterales; Enterobacteriaceae. The record is from RNAcentral.
UUAAGCGACUAAGCGUACACGGUGGAUGCCCUGGCAGUCAGAGGCGAUGAAGGACGUGCUAAUCUGCGAUAAGCGUCGGUAAGGUGAUAUGAACCGUUAUAACCGGCGAUUUCCGAAUGGGGAAACCCAGUGUGAUUCGUCACACUAUCAUUAACUGAAUCCAUAGGUUAAUGAGGCGAACCGGGGGAACUGAAACAUCUAAGUACCCCGAGGAAAAGAAAUCAACCGAGAUUCCCCCAGUAGCGGCGAGCGAACGGGGAGCAGCCCAGAGCCUGAAUCAGUGUGUGUGUUAGUGGAAGCGUCUGGAAAGGCGCGCGAUACAGGGUGACAGCCCCGUACACAAAAAUGCACAUGCUGUGAGCUCGAUGAGUAGGGCGGGACACGUGGUAUCCUGUCUGAAUAUGGGGGGACCAUCCUCCAAGGCUAAAUACUCCUGACUGACCGAUAGUGAACCAGUACCGUGAGGGAAAGGCGAAAAGAACCCCGGCGAGGGGAGUGAAAAAGAACCUGAAACCGUGUACGUACAAGCAGUGGGAGCACGCUUAGGCGUGUGACUGCGUACCUUUUGUAUAAUGGGUCAGCGACUUAUAUUCUGUAGCAAGGUUAACCGAAUAGGGGAGCCGAAGGGAAACCGAGUCUUAACUGGGCGUUAAGUUGCAGGGUAUAGACCCGAAACCCGGUGAUCUAGCCAUGGGCAGGUUGAAGGUUGGGUAACACUAACUGGAGGACCGAACCGACUAAUGUUGAAAAAUUAGCGGAUGACUUGUGGCUGGGGGUGAAAGGCCAAUCAAACCGGGAGAUAGCUGGUUCUCCCCGAAAGCUAUUUAGGUAGCGCCUCGUGAAUUCAUCUCCGGGGGUAGAGCACUGUUUCGGCAAGGGGGUCAUCCCGACUUACCAACCCGAUGCAAACUGCGAAUACCGGAGAAUGUUAUCACGGGAGACACACGGCGGGUGCUAACGUCCGUCGUGAAGAGGGAAACAACCCAGACCGCCAGCUAAGGUCCCAAAGUCAUGGUUAAGUGGGAAACGAUGUGGGAAGGCCCAGACAGCCAGGAUGUUGGCUUAGAAGCAGCCAUCAUUUAAAGAAAGCGUAAUAGCUCACUGGUCGAGUCGGCCUGCGCGGAAGAUGUAACGGGGCUAAACCAUGCACCGAAGCUGCGGCAGCGACACUAUGUGUUGUUGGGUAGGGGAGCGUUCUGUAAGCCUGUGAAGGUGUACUGUGAGGUAUGCUGGAGGUAUCAGAAGUGCGAAUGCUGACAUAAGUAACGAUAAAGCGGGUGAAAAGCCCGCUCGCCGGAAGACCAAGGGUUCCUGUCCAACGUUAAUCGGGGCAGGGUGAGUCGACCCCUAAGGCGAGGCCGAAAGGCGUAGUCGAUGGGAAACAGGUUAAUAUUCCUGUACUUGGUGUUACUGCGAAGGGGGGACGGAGAAGGCUAUGUUGGCCGGGCGACGGUUGUCCCGGUUUAAGCGUGUAGGCUGGUUUUCCAGGCAAAUCCGGAAAAUCAAGGCUGAGGCGUGAUGACGAGGCACUACGGUGCUGAAGCAACAAAUGCCCUGCUUCCAGGAAAAGCCUCUAAGCAUCAGGUAACAUCAAAUCGUACCCCAAACCGACACAGGUGGUCAGGUAGAGAAUACCAAGGCGCUUGAGAGAACUCGGGUGAAGGAACUAGGCAAAAUGGUGCCGUAACUUCGGGAGAAGGCACGCUGAUAUGUAGGUGAAGUCCCUCGCGGAUGGAGCUGAAAUCAGUCGAAGAUACCAGCUGGCUGCAACUGUUUAUUAAAAACACAGCACUGUGCAAACACGAAAGUGGACGUAUACGGUGUGACGCCUGCCCGGUGCCGGAAGGUUAAUUGAUGGGGUUAGCGCAAGCGAAGCUCUUGAUCGAAGCCCCGGUAAACGGCGGCCGUAACUAUAACGGUCCUAAGGUAGCGAAAUUCCUUGUCGGGUAAGUUCCGACCUGCACGAAUGGCGUAAUGAUGGCCAGGCUGUCUCCACCCGAGACUCAGUGAAAUUGAACUCGCUGUGAAGAUGCAGUGUACCCGCGGCAAGACGGAAAGACCCCGUGAACCUUUACUAUAGCUUGACACUGAACAUUGAGCCUUGAUGUGUAGGAUAGGUGGGAGGCUUUGAAGUGUGGACGCCAGUCUGCAUGGAGCCGACCUUGAAAUACCACCCUUUAAUGUUUGAUGUUCUAACGUUGACCCGUAAUCCGGGUUGCGGACAGUGUCUGGUGGGUAGUUUGACUGGGGCGGUCUCCUCCUAAAGAGUAACGGAGGAGCACGAAGGUUGGCUAAUCCUGGUCGGACAUCAGGAGGUUAGUGCAAUGGCAUAAGCCAGCUUGACUGCGAGCGUGACGGCGCGAGCAGGUGCGAAAGCAGGUCAUAGUGAUCCGGUGGUUCUGAAUGGAAGGGCCAUCGCUCAACGGAUAAAAGGUACUCCGGGGAUAACAGGCUGAUACCGCCCAAGAGUUCAUAUCGACGGCGGUGUUUGGCACCUCGAUGUCGGCUCAUCACAUCCUGGGGCUGAAGUAGGUCCCAAGGGUAUGGCUGUUCGCCAUUUAAAGUGGUACGCGAGCUGGGUUUAGAACGUCGUGAGACAGUUCGGUCCCUAUCUGCCGUGGGCGCUGGAGAACUGAGGGGGGCUGCUCCUAGUACGAGAGGACCGGAGUGGACGCAUCACUGGUGUUCGGGUUGUCAUGCCAAUGGCACUGCCCGGUAGCUAAAUGCGGAAGAGAUAAGUGCUGAAAGCAUCUAAGCACGAAACUUGCCCCGAGAUGAGUUCUCCCUGACUCCUUGAGAGUCCUGAAGGAACGUUGAAGACGACGACGUUGAUAGGCCGGGUGUGUAAGCGCAGCGAUGCGUUGAGCUAACCGGUACUAAUGAACCGUGAGGCUUAACCU